AUUGAACGCUGGCGGCAGGCCUAACACAUGCAAGUCGAACGAGUGGCGGACGGGUGAGUAAUGUCUGGGAAACUGCCUUAUGGAGGGGGCUAAAUACUGGAAACGGUAGCUAAUCCCGCAUACCAUCGGAUGUGCCCAGAUGGGAGUAGCGAGUAGGUGGGGUAAAGGCUCACCUAGGCGACGAUCCCUAGCUGGUCGGAGAGGAUGACCGUCCAAACUGGAACUGAGAAACGGUCCAGACCCCUACGGGAGGAAGCAGUGGGGAAUAUUGCACAAUGGGCGCAAGCCGGAUGCAGCCAUGCCGCGUGUAUGAAGAAGGUCUUCGGGUUGUAAAGUACUUUCAGCGGGGAGGCGUUACCCGCAGAAGAAGCACCGGCUAACUCCGUGCCAGCAGCCGCGGUAAUUC
Molecule: ribosomal RNA, 406 nt
Filed under: uncultured bacterium
Lineage: Bacteria
Description: partial 16S ribosomal RNA
Rfam family: Bacterial small subunit ribosomal RNA
Source: RNAcentral